GACGAACGCUGGCGGCGUGCCUAAUACAUGCAAGUAGAACGCACAGUUUAUACCGUAGCUUGCUACACCAUAGACUGUGAGUUGCGAACGGGUGAGUAACGCGUAGGUAACCUGCCUGGUAGCGGGGGAUAACUAUUGGAAACGAUAGCUAAUACCGCAUAAUAUUGAUUAUUGCAUGAUAAUUAAUUGAAAGGUGCAAUUGCACCACUACCAGAUGGACCUGCGUUGUAUUAGCUAGUAGGUGAGGUAGCGGCUCACCUAGGCGACGAUACAUAGCCGACCUGAGAGGGUGAUCGGCCACACUGGGACUGAGACACGGCCCAGACUCCUACGGGAGGCAGCAGUAGGGAAUCUUCGGCAAUGGACGAAAGUCUGACCGAGCAACGCCGCGUGAGUGAAGAAGGUUUUCGGAUCGUAAAGCUCUGUUGUAAGAGAAGAACGGGUGUGAGAGUGGAAAGUUCACACUGUGACGGUAUCUUACCAGAAAGGGACGGCUAACUACGUG
Molecule: ribosomal RNA, 505 nt
Filed under: uncultured bacterium
Lineage: Bacteria
Description: partial 16S ribosomal RNA
Rfam family: Bacterial small subunit ribosomal RNA
Source: RNAcentral